This 2468-nucleotide long non-coding RNA is filed under the name Homo sapiens (human). RNAcentral describes it as "HSALNT0078933". Lineage: Eukaryota; Metazoa; Chordata; Mammalia; Primates; Hominidae. The record is from RNAcentral.
AGACUUCCAAACCGGCCGAACCAGAUCUGAGUGUCUGUUGGACAAUGAUCUCAAUUUUUAAAGAACAGACCAUUAGGCACAAUCAGAAACUGACUUAGAUUUCUAUUUAUCUUACACUAAAAAAAGGCAAAAACAAAAACAAACCAAGCUUAAGCAAAUAAAAUGGAGUAUUUACAGCAGGCUGUGCUCUGCAGGAGAAUCAAGAAAGUCUAGGCCACCUAACUCCGCUGCAAAGCAUUCCUAGAAACACAUGUAAAAAUAGAUCUUCAUACAGCAGACUGUACCUUCUUGUAGGAAUGAGAUUGUAAUUUGGGGUUGGCUUCCUGAUCCAGGGUAUGACCAACAAUACAUUAUAAGGCAAAACUUCACAUAUGAAUUUCUACAAUUUUUAAAAUUAUAAAAGUGUGCUUCAAGUCCCUAUAAAAUGCACUUUACAUACUGAUUAUAUAAAAGCGAACAGGGCAUGGUGGCUCAUGCCUAUAACCCCAGCACUUUGGGAGGCUGAGGCGGAAGGAUCACUUGAGGCCAGGAGUUUAAGACCACCCUGAGCAAUACUGUAAGACCCCAUCUCUAUAAAAAAAAUCUAAAAGGUUAAGAUAGGCAUGGUGUUGUGCACCUGUAGUCCCAGCUACUCAAGAGGCUGAGUUGGGAGGACUAUUUGAGCCCAUGAGUUCAAGGUUACAGUGAACAAUGAUCAUGCUACUGUCCUUCAGCCUGAGCAACGGAGAGAGGCCCCCAUCUCAAAAAAUGAUAAUAGGCCAGGUGGAGUGGCUCAUGCUUAUAAUCCCAGCACUUUGGGAGGCUGAGGCGGGCAGAUCACAAGGUCAGGAGUUCGAGACCAGACUGGCCAACAUGGUGAAACCCUGUCUCUACUAAAAAUACAAAAAUUAUCCGGGCCUGGUGGCGCGUGCCUGUAAUCCCAGCUACUGGAGAGGCUGAAGCAGGAGAAUAGCUUGAACUCAGAAGGCGGGGGUUGCAGUGAGCAGAGACCACGCCACUGUACUCCAGCCUAGGCGACAGAGCAAGACUCCGUCUCAAAAAAUAAUAAUAAUGAUAAAUAAACAAAACAAUAAUAAAAAUGUUAAAAGCCAAAUAAGCUCUAAACUGUCAACAGAGUACAUAAAAAUAUAGAUCUGUGAUUUCAACUUUGUUUUAUUUUACAAAAUGUGCUGCUACAACAUAGAUAACACAACUGCCUGUAUUUAUUAAGCACUUACUAAGUGUCCCCACAAACUAAGAGCUUUAUCUGCAUCAUCUUAUUUGAUCUUCUCAAUGAAUCUAUGGGGAAACUGAGGCUUAAAAUGGCAACAUCACUCAUCCAAGUACAAUUAUUUAAAUAAGUGACUGAAUUGCAAUUUAAACCCAAGGCAUCUAAUUCUAGAGCUAGUGAAACAAAGCUCUGAAUUAGGGUGAAACAAAGUGAAUUUCAAGCAUGUCAUAAAUCUAUGGAGUUUGAGAGCCUAAAGAGGCAUCAGAUAACAUUUAGCUCAGUUCCUUUAUGUUAUAGAUAAUGAUCAUAAUUUCAAGAGAAGUGAAAUUACUUAUAAGUGUUUCUUAGUGACAAAGCCAAGGCCAGAAUUCUAUUGAUUUCCAAAUUAAUUUUUUUUCCACUUUAUCCAGUUGACUCAAGACAGUCUCUUCUCACUUUAGUCCAGCAAUUUUAAGAUGUGUACAAUUUCCAUAUACAGAAUGACUAUUCAAGUUCCCUGAAGGAAUACUGCAGUCCCAAUUGGUUACCUAAUUAAUCUAUUACUUCAAAACUUUGUGGUUUAAAACAACGAACAUUUACUGUCUCAGAGUUUUUGUGGGCAGGAAUUCAGGAUGGGCCUUGCUGGGUUGUCCUAGCUCAGGGUUGCUCAUUCACUUUCAGUCAGGCUCUUCAUGGGUCAGGACUGCAGGCAGCUGACUGGGCUUCCUCACUUGCCUGUUGGCAGGAAGCCUUAGCUCUCGCCACGUGGGCCUUUCCAUUGGCUGUUUGAGUGGCAUGGCACCUAGCAGACAUUUUCUUCUUUUUCUUUUUUUUUUUUCCUCCGAGUCUUAGUUUGGUUUGGUGGUCCUCCUCACUCCUGUGUAACUCUUAAAAAGAGGCACAUAGGAGGAGAUGGCAUCUUCCAUCUGGGAUCUUUUUGUGUCUCGAUGGGACAUCUGGAACUGCUGCAGCCAUCGUGCAACCAUCAGGAGAGCCAACCUUCAUAAGUUUUACCUUUAGGAGCUCCACCAGGUUCUCAUCGUGAGUGUAGGAAGAAAAUCUCUUCAUGCUUCUGACACAGGGAGGGAGAAAGUAGCCAUUUUUAAAUAUGUCCAGAACAUUCUGUUCUUUUUAACAAGGCCUGCCUUCAAGGCAAAUUAUUUUACCAGAGUCUAACCAAUCUAGAGGAAGGGAAACACCUGAAUUUAGCUUCUACUAGCCUCGGAUUUCACUGGGAGAGGGAGGGCAACUGAGAAGCAUAUGUGAAGAUGACAGCCCA